RNAcentral lists this ribosomal RNA (881 nucleotides) under uncultured bacterium. Its description in RNAcentral is "bacterial SSU rRNA". It matches the Rfam family "Bacterial small subunit ribosomal RNA", at positions 8 to 916 of the family's 1533-position model. The record is from RNAcentral.
AGAGUUUGAUCAUGGCUCAGGACGAACGCUGGCGGCGUGCCUAACACAUGCAAGUCGAGCGGGGACUUCGGUCCUAGCGGCGGACGGGUGAGUAACACGUGGGUAACCUGCCUUGUAGAGGGGGAUAGCCUUCCGAAAGGAAGAUUAAUACCGCAUAACAUUGUGCUUUCGCAUGAGAGUAUAAUCAAAGGAGCAAUCCGCUACAAGAUGGACCCGCGGCGCAUUAGCUAGUUGGUGAGGUAACGGCUCACCAAGGCGACGAUGCGUAGCCGGCCUGAGAGGGUGAACGGCCACAUUGGAACUGAGACACGGUCCAGACUCCUACGGGAGGCAGCAGUGGGGAAUAUUGCACAAUGGGCGAAAGCCUGAUGCAGCAACGCCGCGUGAGUGAUGAAGGCCUUCGGGUUGUAAAGCUCUGUCUUCUGGGACGAUAAUGACGGUACCAGAGGAGGAAGCCACGGCUAACUACGUGCCAGCAGCCGCGGUAAUACGUAGGUGGCAAGCGUUGUCCGGAUUUACUGGGCGUAAAGGAUGCGUAGGCGGAUGCUUAAGUCAGAUGUGAAAAUCCCGGGCUUAACUUGGGAACUGCAUUUGAAACUGGGUAUCUAGAGUGCGGGAGAGGAGAGUGGAAUUCCUAGUGUAGCGGUGAAAUGCGUAGAGAUUAGGAAGAACACCAGUGGCGAAGGCGACUCUCUGGACCGUAACUGACGCUGAGGCAUGAAAGCGUGGGGAGCAAACAGGAUUAGAUACCCUGGUAGUCCACGCCGUAAACUAUGAAUACUAGGUGUGGGAGUUGUCAUGACUUCCGUGCCGCAGUUAACACAAUAAGUAUUCCGCCUGGGGAGUACGGUCGCAAGAUUAAAACUCAAAUGAAUUGACGG